Molecule: ribosomal RNA, 155 nt
Filed under: Breynia fruticosa
Lineage: Eukaryota; Viridiplantae; Streptophyta; Magnoliopsida; Malpighiales; Phyllanthaceae
Description: 5.8S ribosomal RNA
Rfam family: 5.8S ribosomal RNA
About the family: 5.8S ribosomal RNA (5.8S rRNA) is a component of the large subunit of the eukaryotic ribosome. It is transcribed by RNA polymerase I as part of the 45S precursor that also contains 18S and 28S rRNA.
Source: RNAcentral
AAACGACUCUCGGCAACGGAUAUCUCGGCUCUCGCAUCGAUGAAGAACGUAGCGAAAUGCGAUACUUGGUGUGAAUUGCAGAAUCCCGUGAACCAUCGAGUUUUUGAACGCAAGUUGCGCCCAAAACCUUCGGGUCGAGGGCACGUCUGCCUGGG